AUUGAACGCUGGCGGCAGGCCUAACACAUGCAAGUCGAGCGGAUGAAGGGAGCUUGCUCCUGGAUUCAGCGGCGGACGGGUGAGUAAUGCCUAGGAAUCUGCCUGGUAGUGGGGGAUAACGUCCGGAAACGGGCGCUAAUACCGCAUACGUCCUGAGGGAGAAAGUGGGGGAUCGUCGGACCUCACGCUAUCAGAUGAGCCUAGGUCGGAUUAGCUAGUUGGUGGGGUAAAGGCCUACCAAGGCGACGAUCCGUAACUGGUCUGAGAGGAUGAUCAGUCACACUGGAACUGGGACACGGUCCAGACUCCUACGGGAGGCAGCAGUGGGGAAUAUUGGACAGUGGGCGAAAGCCUGAUCCAGCCGUGCCGCGUGUGUGAAGAAGGUCUUCGGAUUGUAAAGCCCUUUAAGUUGGGAGGAAGGGCAGUAAGUUAAUACCUUGCUGUUUUGACGUUACCAACAGAAUAAGCACCGGCUAACUUCGUG
This 484-nucleotide ribosomal RNA is filed under the name uncultured bacterium. RNAcentral describes it as "partial 16S ribosomal RNA". It matches the Rfam family "Bacterial small subunit ribosomal RNA", at positions 30 to 507 of the family's 1533-position model. The record is from RNAcentral.